This 384-nucleotide ribosomal RNA is filed under the name Helicella itala. RNAcentral's name for it is "partial large subunit ribosomal RNA". It matches the Rfam family "Bacterial large subunit ribosomal RNA", at positions 1947 to 2618 of the family's 2925-position model. Lineage: Eukaryota; Metazoa; Mollusca; Gastropoda; Stylommatophora; Geomitridae. The record is from RNAcentral.
UGUGCAAAGGUAGCAUAAUCAUUUGGCUUAUAAUUGAAGUCUAGCAUGAAAGGAUUCAUGGGAGAUAGCUGUCUUUUAGAGUUUAUUUGAAAUUACUUAACAAGUGAAAAUACUUGUAAAUAAACAAUAGACGAGAAGACCCUAGAAAUUUUAUAUAAAUCAGCAGUUAUUGGUGUUAUUAUUUUGUUGGGGCGACAGAAUAACAAGAAACUUAUUUUAUAAAAUUAGAACUAUGUGUUGAGUUAAAAUAAAUUACUCUAGGGAUAACAGCAUAAUCUAUUAGAGUUUGUGACCUCGAUGUUGGACUAGGGAUUUUAGCGUUUAGAAGACACUAAAACACGCUCUGUUCGAGCGGUAGCCCCUACAUGAUCUGAGUUCAAAUCG